This is a long non-coding RNA of Oncorhynchus gorbuscha (pink salmon), 827 nucleotides long. RefSeq lists it as uncharacterized. The record is from RefSeq and is a predicted model, not a curated record. The transcript is spliced from 3 exons. NCBI's taxonomy places the organism in Eukaryota, Metazoa, Chordata, Actinopteri, Salmoniformes, Salmonidae.
GCUAAAUGUAGGGCUUGUUUUCUGAUUCAUGGUAGUCUUGUGGAAGUGCAGAGCAAUGCCCUGAAUUGACUGAAGACCCCAUGAUGGUGGCUGUGUGCUGACUGACAAGCACUGGUGGAAAUGGUGAGGGCCAGGAAUGACAUACAACUGUCUGAAAAAAAGCAGGCCAUUGAGGACAAUGAUGACACCUUUGCCAAUAUUGCAUCCAUCAGCCUACCACCAAUCACCCGCCUUUUGAAGAGGCACCAGGUAUCUAUGAAACACAUUUACCUGGUGCCUUUUGAGAGAAACAUCAACCGGGUGAAACAACUCUGGGCAGAGUGUGUUCAGAGGGUGAUGGUGCUUGAUGCUGCUGUGAGCCAUCACAAUAAUGUUUCUGUUGAUGAAGCGGGCUUCAACCUGGCCAAAACUCAGUAACGUGGGCGGAACCGCAUUGGCCAACGGGCGACCGUCCAAGUACCUGGGGAAACAUCUCCAUGUGCACAGCAAUCUCUUGUGGUUGGUGUGGUAGGAUGUAAGCCGUUAGAUCCUACAACGCUGCACACCUCAUUGUGUUUCUUAAUGAACUUGAGCAGGCCUGUCAAGGUGAAGGGGUUACAUAUGUCAUUGUGUGGGACAAUGUCAAGUUCCACUAUGCAGAGGUGGUUCAGGUGUAACCGGUGCUGUACUGCACCACUGUAGCUCUGCGUUGUGUGUGGUUGAUUGAGACUAUAGACGUGGACUUUGGAGAUCAGGUAGUUUUAAUUCAUCAGAAUUCACUCUGCAUCUUGAAUCCAAAAAGAAAAGAAAAACAUUUGUAGGGCACAUAUGUCCCGCGAAUCGUCACC